GAUGAACGCUGGCGGCGUGCUUAACACAUGCAAGUCGAACGGAAAGGCCCUGCUUUUGUGGGGUGCUCGAGUGGCGAACGGGUGAGUAACACGUGAGUAACCUGCCCUUGACUUUGGGAUAACUUCAGGAAACUGGGGCUAAUACCGGAUAGGAGCUCCUGCUGCAUGGUGGGGGUUGGAAAGUUUCGGCGGUUGGGGAUGGACUCGCGGCUUAUCAGCUUGUUGGUGGGGUAGUGGCUUACCAAGGCUUUGACGGGUAGCCGGCCUGGGAGGGUGACCGGCCACAGUGGGACUGGGGAACGGCCCAGACUGCUACGUGAGGCAGCGGUGGGGAAUAUUGCACAAUAGGCGGAAGCGUGAUGCAGCGACGCCGCGUGCGGGAUGACGGCCUUCGGGUUGUAAACCGCUUUCGCCUGUGACGAAGCGUGAGUGACGGUAAUGGGUAAAGAAGCACCGGCUAACUACGUG
RNAcentral lists this ribosomal RNA (468 nucleotides) under uncultured bacterium. RNAcentral describes it as "partial 16S ribosomal RNA". It matches the Rfam family "Bacterial small subunit ribosomal RNA", at positions 28 to 507 of the family's 1533-position model. The record is from RNAcentral.